This 1195-nucleotide long non-coding RNA is filed under the name Fragaria vesca (wild strawberry). Its description in RNAcentral is "long non-coding RNA (FVES_LNC004206)". The record is from RNAcentral. Lineage: Eukaryota; Viridiplantae; Streptophyta; Magnoliopsida; Rosales; Rosaceae.
ACACCAUAAAGCAUAAAAGGUGUCCGCAAGUUGGUUGUAUCUAUCUGCAUAGUUUGAUGUAAGAAUAGAAUGUUCACUUUUGUGUUAUUUAGCGUAGGAGGGUCUCACUCCUUAUUUAGCUAAAGAAUAGGCUUUCAAAACGAGCAAUGAGCAUUGCAGGGGGCCAAUGCGACAUCGAGGAAAGGCCGGUGCACCUCAAUUGCUUGAGGAAUUGACCGGACGACCUCCAGGAAGUUGGAGUCGUGUUCGGGUGACCUCAAUGUCCCCCGGGUCACCACCAUGCUUCAUGGUGAUGCUAGAUCUCGAAUGUCUUCGUUUUGAGCGGAAGAAUGGAUGUCCAUGAGAUUUUCUCAAAAUUUGGACCAUUAUAUCUCUUCCAGGUUGACCAAUUUGGUCAAACCAAAGCCUAUAUGAGUCGGUGUCCCAAAUAUCAUGUAUGGCGACAACAUGGGAUUCGAUAUUCGAAUCGUAGUGACAUACAGUUCACUAGAUUGAUUCAUGAAUUUCUCCAAGAUGCGCUUCAGUUCGCAUUCAUGAGGAGGUAUACACAAAAGAAUUCUUGUUCAUUCUCACAAUGUGUUUUCAAAUGAAAACCAUUAGCAGGAAUGUCUUUAAAACUUAACAUGGUUCCUUAGAAUGUUGUGGAUAGUUCCACUAUCUGCGAAGCACUCAAUGUCUCUAUGAGACAUAACUAUAAGGAGUAGAUAGGCGAGUAAAUAGUUCUACUUGAACCAUUUAGAAGGAUUGAAAGAAGCUACGAAAAGCUGCAAUCCCGAGAGUGCAUAAAAAUUUCCGCGCAGAAUGACCUUUGCGCACUAAAACAGCCAUAACUUCUUCGUUAAAAUAGGUAUGGAUGAACUGUGAAAAGUUCUGAAAACUAGACUCGUAGAGCUUUCCAAUGAUAUAAAGCUCACUGUCUGGUUCGUCCGGAGCUGUUCAAAAAGCUCAAACGAAGUUGACUGUCCAGAAGGGACAGAUUGCUGUUUUUCGCAGAUUUGGCAUGUGCGAAGCUAUGAAGCUUGCAGGUGGCGUGUAGGCUUUUGCCUUAGCCAAAAGUGACAUGUGUAUGAUCAAAACCAAGUCCUUUCGGUCGUUCUAAGGUCGUAAACUCCAUGACUAGUUAGCAAAAGCUCCCUGACAUGAACAUAAACUAACUCAGAGGACCUAGAGGAUCCGAUCAUGAUGAUAAUUUUCC